This 532-nucleotide ribosomal RNA is filed under the name uncultured crenarchaeote. RNAcentral's name for it is "bacterial SSU rRNA". It matches the Rfam family "Archaeal small subunit ribosomal RNA", at positions 348 to 882 of the family's 1478-position model. Lineage: Archaea; Thermoproteati; Thermoproteota. The record is from RNAcentral.
CUCCGCAAUGCGCGAAAGCGUGACGGGGCUACCCCGAGUGUCGUCCGCUGAGGAUGGCUUUUCUCUGGUGUAAUGAGCCGGAGGAAUAAGGGGAGGGCAAGCCUGGUGUCAGCCGCCGCGGUAAUACCAGCUCCCCGAGUGGUGGGGACGAUUAUUGGGCCUAAAGCGUCCGUAGCUGGCUCGGCAAGUCUUCCGUUAAAUCCAACGAUCCAAUCGUUGGGCUCGCGGGAGAUACUGCAGAGCUAGGGGGCAGGAGAAGCCGACGGUACUCAUGGGGUAGGGGUAAAAUCCUUUAAUGCCAUGAGGACCACCAGUGGCGAAGGCUGUCGGCUAGAAUGCGCCCGACGGUGAGGGACGAAAGCUGGGGGAGCGAUCCGGAUUAGAUACCCGGGUAGUCCCAGCUGUAAACGAUGCAGGCUAGGUGUUAGCGUGACUACGGGUCACKCUAGUGCCGCAGGGAAGCCGUUAAGCCUGCCGCCUGGGAAGUACGGUCGCAAGACUGAAACUUAAAGGAAUUGCGGGGGGGAGCAAC